CUGAGUCCUGAAGAGUGAAGCCCUCUUGCAACUUUUCCACACACCCCCACGAAUGUGAUGCAACCGUGACCUAGAGGGACAACUUCUAGGGAUGAGAGAGCAGUUCAGUCUCCAGAGCCCAUUCAAUCCUUAACUACA
This 138-nucleotide small RNA is filed under the name Chelonoidis abingdonii (Abingdon island giant tortoise). Its description in RNAcentral is "TUC338 (ENSCABG00000016960.1)". Lineage: Eukaryota; Metazoa; Chordata; Testudines; Testudinidae. The record is from RNAcentral.